Molecule: ribosomal RNA, 251 nt
Filed under: uncultured prokaryote
Description: partial 16S rRNA
Rfam family: Bacterial small subunit ribosomal RNA
Source: RNAcentral
ACGGGGGGUGCAAGCGUUGUUCGGAAUUAUUGGGCGUAAAGCGCGUGUAGGCGGUUUGUUAAGUCUGAUGUGAAAGCCCUGGGCUCAACUCAGGAAGUGCAUUGGAUACUGGCAGACUUGAAUACGGGAGAGGGUAGUGGAAUUCCUUGUGUAGGAGUGAAAUCCGUAGAUAUCAGGAGGAACACCGGUGGCGAAGGCGGCUACCUGGACCGAUAUUGACGCUGAGACGCUAAAGCGUGGGUAGCAAACAG